RNAcentral lists this ribosomal RNA (206 nucleotides) under uncultured bacterium. RNAcentral's name for it is "partial 16S ribosomal RNA". It matches the Rfam family "Bacterial small subunit ribosomal RNA", at positions 568 to 774 of the family's 1533-position model. The record is from RNAcentral.
UGCGUAGGUGGUAUGUCAAGUCAGAAGUGAAAACCCAGGGCUUAACUCUGGGACUGCUUUUGAAACUGUCAGACUGGAGUGCAGGAGAGGUAAGCGGAAUUCCUAGUGUAGCGGUGAAGUGCGUAGAUAUUAGGAGGAACAUCAGUGGCGAAGGCGGCUUACUGGACUGAAACUGACACUGAGGCACGAAAGCGUGGGAGCAAACA